This 106-nucleotide small nucleolar RNA is filed under the name Ipomoea nil (Japanese morning glory). Its description in RNAcentral is "Plant small nucleolar RNA R71". It matches the Rfam family "Plant small nucleolar RNA R71". From Rfam's summary of the family: R71 is a member of the C/D box family of snoRNAs containing the C (UGAUGA) and D (CUGA) box motifs. Multiple nearly identical copies of this snoRNA have been identified in Arabidopsis, and it is thought to function as a 2'-O-ribose methylation guide for 18S ribosomal RNA. Lineage: Eukaryota; Viridiplantae; Streptophyta; Magnoliopsida; Solanales; Convolvulaceae. The record is from Rfam by way of RNAcentral.
AUUUGAUGGUGUGGGCAGCUUGCACAUACUUCUUGAAACGCUCCCAAUAUUCAUACAAUGACUCUCCAUUGUUUUGCCUUAUACCAUAGAUUUCCUUUCUAAUGUU